UACGUAGGGAGCAAGCGUUGUCCGGAAUCAUUGGGCGUAAAGCGCGCGUAGGUGGCCCCAUAAGUCCGCUGUGAAAGUCAAAGGCUCAACCUUUGAAAGCCGGUGGAUACUGUGGGACUAGAGUACGGAAGAGGCGAGUGGAAUUCCUGGUGUAGCGGUGGAAUGCGCAGAUAUCGGGAAGAACACCCGUGGCGAAGGCGGCUCUCUGGGACGGUACUGACGCUGAGACGCGAAAGCCAGGGGAGCAAACGGG
Molecule: ribosomal RNA, 253 nt
Filed under: uncultured bacterium
Lineage: Bacteria
Description: partial 16S ribosomal RNA
Rfam family: Bacterial small subunit ribosomal RNA
Source: RNAcentral